AGAGUUUGAUCAUGGCUCAGGAUAAACGCUGGCGGCGCACAUAAGACAUGCAAGUCGAACGAACUUAACCAUUAGUUUACUAUUGGAGCGGUUAGUGGCGGACUGGUGAGUAACACGUAAGCAACCUGCCUAUCAGAGGGGAACAACAGUUAGAAAUGACUGCUAAUACCGCAUAUGCCUUGAGUAUCACAUGGUACAAAAGGGAAAGGAGCAAUCCACUGAUAGAUGGGCUUGCGUCUGAUUAGAUAGUUGGUGAGGUAGCGGCCCACCAAGUCGACGAUCAGUAGCCGGACUGAGAGGUUUAACGGCCACAUUGGGACUGAGAUACGGCCCAGACUCCUACGGGAGGCAGCAGUCGGGAAUAUUGCGCAAUGGAGGAAACUCUGACGCAGUGACGCCGCGUGCAGGAAGAAGGUUUUCGGAUUGUAAACUGCUUUAGACAGGGAAGAAACAAGACAGUACCUGUAGAAUAAGCUCCGGCUAACUACGUGCCAGCAGCCGCGGUAAUACGUAGGGAGCAAGCGUUAUCCGGAUUUAUUGGGUGUAAGGGGUGCGUAGACGGGAAAUUAAGUUAGUUGUGAAAUCCCUCGGCUUAACUGAGGAACUGCAACUAAAACUGGUUUUCUUGAGUGCUGGAGAGGAAAGUGGAAUUCCUAGUGUAGCGGUGAAAUGCGUAGAUAUUAGGAGGAACACCAGUGGCGAAGGCGACUUUCUGGACAGUAACUGACGUUGAGGCACGAAAGUGUGGGGAGCAAACAGGAUUAGAUACCCUGGUAGUCCACACCGUAAACGAUGGAUACUAGGUGUAGGGUGUGAUAAACAUUCUGUGCCGUCGCAAACGCAGUAAGUAUCCCACCUGGGGAGUACGGCCGCAAGGUUGAAACUCAAAGGAAUUGACGGGGGCCCGCACAAGCAGUGGAGUAUGUGGUUUAAUUCGACGCAACGCGAAGAACCUUACCAGGGCUUGACGUAUACAUGAAAGUCUAGAGAUUAGACCCCUCUUCGGAGCGUGUAUACAGGUGGUGCAUGGUCGUCGUCAGCUCGUGUCGUGAGAUGUUGGGUUAAGUCCCGCAACGAGCGCAACCCCUGUUCUUAGUUACCAGCGAGUUAAGUCGGGAACUCUAAGAAGACUGCCGGUGAUAAAUCGGAGGAAGGUGGGGACGACGUCAAAUCAUCAUGCCCUUUAUGUCCUGGGCUACACACGUACUACAAUGGCUGUAACAAAGGGAAGCUAAGCCGCGAGGUGGAGCAAAACCCAAAAAAGCAGUCUCAGUUCGGAUUGAAGGCUGAAAUUCGCCUUCAUGAAGCCGGAAUUGCUAGUAAUGGCAGGUCAGCAUACUGCCGUGAAUACGUUCCCGGGCCUUGUACACACCGCCCGUCACACCAUGAGAGUUGGGAAUACCCGAAGCCUGUGAGCUAACUUUUAGAGGCAGCAGUCGAAGGUAGAAUCAAUGAUUGGGGUGAAGUCGUAACAAGGUA
Molecule: ribosomal RNA, 1479 nt
Filed under: metagenome
Description: bacterial SSU rRNA
Rfam family: Bacterial small subunit ribosomal RNA
Source: RNAcentral